Molecule: transfer RNA, 62 nt
Filed under: Microceramus pontificus
Lineage: Eukaryota; Metazoa; Mollusca; Gastropoda; Stylommatophora; Urocoptidae
Description: tRNA-Gly
Source: RNAcentral
UAAGAAGUAUGUUAGUACAUUUUCCUUCCAAGAAAAAAGCCUUUGAAUUUAAGCUUGCUUAG